Molecule: unclassified non-coding RNA, 240 nt
Filed under: soil metagenome
Description: partial contains 5.8S ribosomal RNA, internal transcribed spacer 2, and large subunit ribosomal RNA
Source: RNAcentral
AACGCACGAGACCUGCGGACCUGCGGAGGGAUCAUUAUUGAAAUCCUUCCAAGGAUGUUGCUGGUCCUUAGGGACAUGUGCACUCCGCCUUUCUAUACACCUGUGAACUUAUUGUAGGUGCAGAUGUAACAAGUCUGUUACCUAUGUUUUUUAACACACCCUUUUAAAAUGUAUAAUGGAAUGUUGAUGGAUAAUAAUAACAAUACAACUUUCAACAAUGGAUCUCUAGAUCGGAAGAGC